GUGAGUCAUCGAAUCUUUGAACGCACAUUGCGCCCUCUGGUAUUCCGGGGGGCAUGCCUGUUCGAGCGUCAUUACAACCCUCAAGCUCUGCUUGGUAUUGGAUGCAACAUUCUUCCCGGUUCAUCUCAAAAUCAGUGGCGGUGCCAUGCAGCCCUCAGCGCAGUAAAUUUCUCGCUUCAGGGUCUGGAUGUCCGCUAGCCAGAACACUAAAUAUCACAAGGUUGACCUCGGAUCAGGUAGGGAUACCCGCUGAACUUAAGCAUAUCAAUAAGCGGAGGA
RNAcentral lists this unclassified non-coding RNA (279 nucleotides) under Helotiales sp. Its description in RNAcentral is "partial contains 5.8S ribosomal RNA, internal transcribed spacer 2, and large subunit ribosomal RNA". The stretch from base 1 to 71 matches the Rfam family "5.8S ribosomal RNA", at positions 84 to 154 of the family's 154-position model. The record is from RNAcentral. Lineage: Eukaryota; Fungi; Ascomycota; Leotiomycetes; Helotiales.